This 2069-nucleotide long non-coding RNA is filed under the name Sorghum bicolor (sorghum). RNAcentral's name for it is "long non-coding RNA (SBIC_LNC002685)". Lineage: Eukaryota; Viridiplantae; Streptophyta; Magnoliopsida; Poales; Poaceae. The record is from RNAcentral.
AUGGCACGUGCACUUCUGAAUUUAGCUCCUGUACAUCAUCUUGGAUUGGCUUAGGCGCGAGCAUGCUUGUACAUCGUGGCAGUAGUCACAUCUGGGUGGUUGAAGCGCUGACUUUCAUCGCCUGAUCCUUUCCUAGGAGGGAAUGUGUCUGUGAGGGUCAGGUCGCACGAGCGGCCUUGCUGUGUGGGAGCGCUGUCUUCACGUGUCUUGAGGGGUGCCAUGAUGGGAUAUCACAUCUGCUAUACUAUACUAGAUUGUAGCUUUAUCCAUCCAUGGGGAUAAAGCUAUAAAAGGUGGAGAUUUGAUGGGUGCUUGUUCCCCUAUCACGCUUCCCGUGACUAUCGAGUUAGGUGGGAGCAUGGCAGUCGCAUUAAAUGCCCUAGCUUUCGUACCCGCGACACGCGGUGGAGGACGCUUUUGCGCUCGAGGCCAUCAAUUCGCUCGACGCUAUUUCCGUACUCGACGGUCGCUGGCUAUCGAGCUCUUAUAUUGGACCCUGUUUCCGUGUUCGAGGCCAUGAUCGACACCAUGCCCUGGUGAUCACAUAUUUAUGUCAGAGCGUCGAGCUGGAGCCUCAAUUUGUUUAUUUAUCCUCUCGUUGUGAGUGUUGGCUGGGAUACCCCCUAUUGACAUCCUCGACAACUAUCAUGUUCCUAAGACCAAGAUCACAUACAACCACAUAUAUCUGCCAUUCCUACAUUGGGAAUGUGCACAAACAUGUCUUUCCAUCCAUUAAAAAUGUUUUACUCCUACACUAGGAGGAAACACAAGAAGAGUCUUAGUAGGAAUAAUUGCUCUAAGUUCUUUAAAAAGUCUUUCUCAAUAUUUUUGGGUUACAGAAGGACGUAUGUGGCUAUGCAAAAUAAAAGUACUAAAAAAAGAAAAAAAUGGAAAAAGAGAAAAAGGAUAGGUGUCCUAGAAAGAAAGAAGAAUAAAAGAUAGCCCAUACCAUCCUAUACAAAGACCAUCAGUGCUUUAGAGAAAGAAAGACAUUUUUCAAAAGAGCAAUGUAGAAUUAGGAUUAGCCACUAUAUAUUCCACACACAUGCGCUUCUUGAUCUAAGAGUAUGCUAUUCCCCUCCAUGGAUCUGAGUUUUGACUUAGCAAGAUAUGUAAUGUAAUUAUGCUAUUUCCUUGAAUUACCUUUAACUCCAUAUAAGCCUAUAUAGAGUAGGAUAUAUAUGAUAUAUGCUUUGGAGAGUCCCACAAAUACCACCUAUAAUGAGUGAUUUUAGUGUGCUACAUGAUGGAGAAGGGUAAGCUAAGUUUUUCUUUGCAAAAAUAUUAUCAAGCUCCAAGUGACAGAGCUAAAAGAAAAGAGAACUCUAUUUUGUACUAUUCCAUCGUCAACCUCCCAAAGUUUUAUGGUAGACACUUUGAAUCCCGUAGUACAUGUAUGACUUGGAAUAAAUUUGGUAAUGUCUUGGUUUGAGGUUAAGAUUAAAAUAAUGUAUAUAUCCUUUUUCCUCGAGGAUGAGUAAAAGAUAAGUGUGGGGGAGUUUGUUGACUGUAGCGCCAAAAUUUUACCGUGAACUUAACAUGAAAAGGACCUAUUUGCAAGCACUCAGUAGAAAUAGGGUUAUCACUAAUAGAAUUCCAUGAGUUUUGGUGAUUGUCUAUUUCUGUAGGGGGUUACCAGAAUAAUAACAAAAGAAGGUCCACAUGUCAGGUUUACAUAGAGAGAAGGCCGGAACAUCAACUCAAGAAGACUCUAGAAGACUCCAGGAGACACCACCUAAAAGGUGGGACCACCUGCCAAAGGACAGGGGUGGUCGCCUGGGGUUCUCCACUAAUCGGAGUGAACCUCGCAGAUCCUGCCUCCACCGGCUUUGAGGAUUAAUCUGAAGUGCACGUUUAAGUCGGUUUGAUCCAAGGGCUAUGGUGAUUCCUAGGGGACUAUAAAUAAAGACACUACCACCCCAGAGAUGUAACUCUAAAACCCUAAUUCAUAUUUUCCAGAGAGAGUUAGAUUGAGAGGGGUCUCUCGAAUGGAUCUAUCUCUUUAGGGUGAUAGCAACAAGAGAGACUGAGAGAGUAUAGGGUGAGGAUAGAAGUUGAGGAAGCCCGGC